GUCGUUCUUAUUGUUAUAUUUUGUUGUUACAGUCCACCUUUUCAUAGAUCUUGUUCUC
Molecule: small RNA, 58 nt
Filed under: Caenorhabditis elegans
Lineage: Eukaryota; Metazoa; Nematoda; Chromadorea; Rhabditida; Rhabditidae
Description: Unclassified non-coding RNA T23D8.12
Source: RNAcentral